RNAcentral lists this ribosomal RNA (450 nucleotides) under uncultured Oomycota. RNAcentral describes it as "LSU rRNA". It matches the Rfam family "Eukaryotic large subunit ribosomal RNA", at positions 326 to 632 of the family's 3401-position model. Lineage: Eukaryota; Oomycota. The record is from RNAcentral.
GUGCGAGACCGAUAGCGAACAAGUACCGUGAGGGAAAGAUGAAAAGAACUUUGAAAAGAGAGUUAAAGAGUACCUGAAACUGCUGAAAGGGAACCGAAUCGUUUCCAGUGUCUAUAAUCCAUGGUAUAUUUCAUUGGCGUGUGAGUGCGUGCAGCGUUUUGGAAGCGGUCUCCGCUCCUGUCGUUGUUGUGCAUUUGCUUGCUGGUGCCCUGUGCUGUGGUGGGACGUCAGAGUCAGUUUGUAUGUUGCGGGAAAUGGUUAUCAGGGAGGUAGGUCGCUUCGGUGGCUGUUAUAUCCUGGUAACUAGUCGUCGUGGCUGAGACUGAGGUGCCUACAACGCGCUUUCGAGUCUGCGGGCUUCUCGUGUGGCUGUUUGCUUUGAUAGCUUGCUAUGUUGGUGAAUAAGUCGUGCGAUUGAGACCUGUAGUAACUUGUUGCUGUUCGGGACUA